This 378-nucleotide unclassified non-coding RNA is filed under the name plant metagenome. RNAcentral describes it as "partial contains 5.8S ribosomal RNA, internal transcribed spacer 2, and large subunit ribosomal RNA". The stretch from base 1 to 105 matches the Rfam family "5.8S ribosomal RNA", at positions 50 to 154 of the family's 154-position model. The record is from RNAcentral.
GAAAUGCGAUAAGUAAUGUGAAUUGCAGAAUUCAGUGAAUCAUCGAAUCUUUGAACGCACCUUGCGCUCCUUGGUAUUCCUUGGAACAUGCCUGUUUGAGUAUCAUGAAAUCUUCAAAGUAAAUCUUUUGUUAACUCAAUUGGUUUCUACUUUGGUAUUGGAGGUCUUUGCAGCUUCACACCUGCUCCUCUUUGUUCAUUAGCUGGAUCUCAGUGUUAUGCUUGGUUCCACUCGGCGUGAUAAGUUAUCUAUCGCUGAGGACACUGUAAAAGGUGGCCAAGGUAAAUGCAGAUGAACCGCUUCUAAUAGUCCAUUGACUUGGACAAUACUUUUAUGAUCUGAUCUCAAAUCAGGUAGGACUACCCGCUGAACUUAAGG